CGACAAUAUGGGUUAAACAUUACUGUAGAUUUCAAAUAUCCAACACAAAGGAAAAUUCUUCACAAUGUUUAUGAUCCUUUCACCAUAGAACAUAAGAAGCUGAUCCAGAUAGCAACAUAACUGAUGGUGAAGCGUCUUUUAACCAAGACCAUGGGGAAGGCAGUAUUCCAGACAACACCAUAGAUGAUGGAGAAAUUGUCACAUCAAUUUCUAGGAGUGUAUCAUCUGAUGGUCAUGGAGGUGAUAAAGGUAAAAAAACAAAGACAGCAACUUUACUUCAUUGAUAAAGAACAAGAUUUAACAGAUUGUUGAAAAAAAUUCAAACUCUUAAGCAAACUACCAAUGAUUGCAAGAAAUGUUCUUUGCCAUCUGGAAUUAUAAAACAUGCAUCCAAGUAUCUAACUGGUCAUGCCCUGGAUUUUUUCACCCCUCAACUUAAAUUGGCAAAUAUACCAAAAAGGGGCAGACAGUAUUCUACACAGAGAGCUUUUGCACUUGCUUCAUAUUUUAAAAGUGCUAGAGCAUACAAUUUGCUGGCACAACUUUCUGUCCUCCCAACACCUCAGAUGCUGUGAUUGUGGCUGAAGAGGAUUUCUUUCUCAGCAGGGUGGAAUGAAUCCUUUUUCAGGAUACUUGGGAAAAAGGAAGCUUUCAUGAAAAAGCAAGAGCAAAUUUGUGGCAUAGUCUUUGAUGCCAUUUCUAUCAAAUCUGGCAUUUUCUAUGAUAUGUCAAAUGACAAAAUGCAAGGGUAUGAAGUAAGGCAGCUCAAAAAAGAAAGCUUAGUAUGCCAUGCUUUUUAUAUAAGGCUAGGGGACUAGCAUCUAACUGGAAGCAAACUUUGGGCUUCUUUUACUUCCACAAAAGUAUUAAAUCAGAUGAUUUCAGACUGCCUCACUAAGUUGAAAAAAUCUUGGUUUAUUCCAAAAUUUGUUAUCACUGAUCAAGACACUACAAACAGGAGUGUGUUCAAGAAAUUUGUUUUUUCCAGUUAUUCACCAUCACGUCUCUAUAAUGAAGAAGAUAUAUAUUUUUUCUUUGACACUCCACGCUCUGAAAUUAUUUGCAUCCCCUGUGUGAUAGGCAUUUUCUGUAUUUUCUGAAUAACACGU
Non-coding RNA from Penaeus vannamei (Pacific white shrimp), 1109 nucleotides. The record is from RefSeq and is a predicted model, not a curated record. Lineage: Eukaryota; Metazoa; Arthropoda; Malacostraca; Decapoda; Penaeidae.